RNA transcript from Gymnodraco acuticeps, 1879 nucleotides. RefSeq lists it as uncharacterized. The record is from RefSeq and is a predicted model, not a curated record. NCBI's taxonomy places the organism in Eukaryota, Metazoa, Chordata, Actinopteri, Perciformes, Bathydraconidae. The transcript is spliced from 3 exons.
AAGAAGAGGGCGCUUGGUGAAAGGGGAGAGCAGUGACCUUUGGUUCAAGUGGGUUAAUAUUUUACCAAAAUGUCUGGUAUUGGUAAGCUAUCGAUUUUGUAAUAGGGUUUAUCUCCCCCCACACAAACACGCUUAAUGUAGUUUACACAAACACGCUAAAGUUACGUCACUAUAAUAACGUUAGCGUAAGUCACGGUGUGACUCCCGCGCUCUGUAUUUUUCUCAAAAUGGAGGAGCAGUGGGAAGCGCUGUGCAGAAGAAUGACUGCUCGUGUCCGAAACCAGCAGCAGCACCCCUGGCUCUCUGCGGAGGAGAGGGGGAGACACAAAAGAGCCAGGGGAAGGGAGAUGACCGCCUGUGGGAGACAAGUAUCCGCGGACCAGUUUAGAGAUGAUGGGGAAUGUAACCUCCCUCUCCCAGAGUGUCGAGGGAGAGACCGAACCUCCCCCAAAUAUCUCAAAAGUCAAGGUCCCGAAGUCCACACCGUCCCCCCUCAACUACUCUCAAUGUUAAGGCUCAAAACUGUCAAGGAAGACAUGAGACGGGUCAGGCUGCAGAGGUGGAGCUCCAUGAUCCGGCUGCCUGCAGAGUGUGUGAGCAGGAACGGGCUUCUCUGGCCUUGAGAAGUUUUAUCGGGAGGAAGAAGACACAACUAAAGCUCCAAACACUGACGGGCAGACUAAACACACACUUGAGCUAUGGAGAGGACGUAAAGAGCAUACUACCAAAAGGAAAAGAGAGAAGACUAACACCUGGUCGCAGGAAAUCAUUGUCUGAGCUUUCACACAGGAAACAAGGCCAACUGAGCAGCCGGCCUGCAAACAAUGCUGUCGGCGAGCAGAGCAGCAGUGGGCCAGCCCGCGUACACUUCCUCACAACGUACCCUCUUCAUUUGGAAAGAAAAUAAGGAUUUGCAGUGCAUAACAAAAAUUAUAAUUUACCACAGUAAGGAACUAAACUGACAGCCUCACCUGUGAGAAAGGUGGUAAUUAAACAUCUGGCCAAUUCAUUGUGGGAAAACAGGGAAUAUAUUUUGGGCUGUUGGUUGAGAAAACAAACUUUCAUAUAAAAACGAAUAUUCUACAUCAGUCCUAACGUACAACAAAAAACAGACAUGGUUGUUGGUCCCAUUACAAAUAGUCCAAUUUGUAAAUGUACUAGAUAAAUAAAUAAACUCUCCAGUCUUAAUAUCAUCCUCAGUUUAAGGAAGUCAGACUGUUGUUUUGCGUCAGCCCCCCUUGAUGUGCGUGCAGAGUUUUGGGGAAUUUCUGAAGCUUCACAGUGGAUUUACUGCUCACCAGUUUCUGGGAAACUGAAUCGACACAAGUGGAGGGAAAAUUAUGUUGGACUUAAUUUUCUAAAAAAGGCUACAAGACCUGUCAAUAAAGAGCCGUACAUGAUUCAAGUUCCCUCUGCGAUACCAUCAAGACACUAACAACUUGUGAGUACAAAGUAAGUUAGAACAUUGGGAGUUUUUAAGGCCAGCUUCUGAUAACCAUGGGCCGGGGUUUGUAGAUAUUUGCAGUUGAGACUGCUGUUGCUACUGUUUACGCAUUAAUAAAAGACGCUUGCAAAACAAGCAAUGGCAGUGUCUUCAUUUGGAUUCUCUCUCUACUGCCAUGACAUUUGACAAUUGCGCAUUGUGUGAAUUAGCUAGUAGUGUUACCGUUUGUGGUAACAAAUAAUUAUAGAGUGCUAAAUGAACCCAACAACAAUUAAGAAUGGCUUCUGUUUGAGACUAGUACAGGGAUGGGCAACUUGGAUGGUGGUGGGGGCCACAUAAUGUGUGUACUGGCCACCAGGGGGUUAAUAAGCUCACUAAACAAAUAUCAGUUCACAGAAAUGUUAUUUAAUUUUUACAAGUGUCAUGUUUGUAUUG